Molecule: ribosomal RNA, 301 nt
Filed under: uncultured bacterium
Lineage: Bacteria
Description: partial 16S ribosomal RNA
Rfam family: Bacterial small subunit ribosomal RNA
Source: RNAcentral
CAGCCGCCACGGUAAAACGUAGGUGGCGAGCGUUGUCCGGAAUUAUUGGGCGUAAAGGGCUCGCAGGCGGUUUCUUAAGUCUGAUGUGAAAGCCCCCGGCUCAACCGGGGAGGGUCAUUGGAAACUGGGAAACUUGAGUGCAGAAGAGGAGAGUGGAAUUCCACGUGUAGCGGUGAAAUGCGUAGAGAUGUGGAGGAACACCAGUGGCGAAGGCGACUCUCUGGUCUGUAACUGACGCUGAGGAGCGAAAGCGUGGGGAGCGAACAGGAUUAGAUACCCGUGUAGUCCCUGUCUCUUAUAC